Molecule: ribosomal RNA, 461 nt
Filed under: uncultured bacterium
Lineage: Bacteria
Description: bacterial SSU rRNA
Rfam family: Bacterial small subunit ribosomal RNA
Source: RNAcentral
AGCGAACGCUGGCGGCAUGCCUAACACAUGCAAGUCGAGCGCUCCCAGCAAUGGGGGAGCGGCGGACGGGUGAGUAACGCGUAGGAACGUAUCCUGAGGUGGGGGAUAACCCUGGGAAACUAGGGCUAAUACCGCAUGAUGGCGAGAGCCCAAAGAUUUAUCGCCUUGGGAGCGGCCUGCGUCUGAUUAGCUGGUUGGUGGGGUAACGGCCUACCAAGGCGAUGAUCAGUAGCUGGUCUGAGAGGAUGAUCAGCCACACUGGGACUGAGACACGGCCCAGACUCCUACGGGAGGCAGCAGUGGGGAAUAUUGGACAAUGGGCGAAAGCCUGAUCCAGCAAUGCCGCGUGGAUGAAGAAGGUCUUCGGAUUGUAAAGUCCUUUCGGCGGGGACGAUGAUGACGGUACCCGCAGAAGAAGCCCCGGCUAACUUCGUGCCAGCAGCCGCGGUAAGGCACGACUG